GCAUUGGUGGUUCAGUGGUAGAAUUCUUAUCUUCCUUGGGGGUGACCCGAGUUUGAUUCCUGGCCAAGGCA
This 71-nucleotide transfer RNA is filed under the name Loxodonta africana (African savanna elephant). It matches the Rfam family "tRNA". Rfam says of the family: Transfer RNA (tRNA) molecules are approximately 80 nucleotides in length. Their secondary structure includes four short double-helical elements and three loops (D, anti-codon, and T loops). Lineage: Eukaryota; Metazoa; Chordata; Mammalia; Proboscidea; Elephantidae. The record is from Rfam by way of RNAcentral.